AGCCCCGUAGUGUAGCGGUCAAUCAUGCGGGCCUUUGGAGCCUGCGACUCCGGUUCGAAUCCGGACGGGGCUA
RNAcentral lists this transfer RNA (73 nucleotides) under Methanobacteriota archaeon. Its description in RNAcentral is "Euryarchaeota archaeon (hot springs metagenome) tRNA-Gln". It matches the Rfam family "tRNA". Rfam says of the family: Transfer RNA (tRNA) molecules are approximately 80 nucleotides in length. Their secondary structure includes four short double-helical elements and three loops (D, anti-codon, and T loops). The record is from RNAcentral. RNAcentral also lists the same sequence under 1 other name. Lineage: Archaea; Methanobacteriati; Methanobacteriota.